RNAcentral lists this small RNA (31 nucleotides) under Bombyx mori (domestic silkworm). RNAcentral's name for it is "ovarian small RNA-8010". The record is from RNAcentral. Lineage: Eukaryota; Metazoa; Arthropoda; Insecta; Lepidoptera; Bombycidae.
UGAAUGGGAAUUCGUAUAAGCCAAAUGGCGU